CAGCCGCCGCGGUAAUACGAAGGGGGCUAGCGUUGUUCGGAUUAACUGGGCGUAAAGGGCGCGUAGGCGGGUUUUUAAGUCAGAGGUGAAAUCCCCGGGCUCAACCUGGGAAUGGCAAUGGAUACUGGCAAGCUAGAGUGUGUCAGAGGAUGGUGGAAUUCCCGGUGUAGCGGUGAAAUGCGUAGAGAUCGGGAGGAACAUCAGUGGCGAAGGCGGCCAUCUGGGACAACACUGACGCUGAGGCACGAAAGCGUGGGGAGCAAACAGGAUUAGAUACCCGCGUAGUCCCUGUCUCUUAUAC
Molecule: ribosomal RNA, 301 nt
Filed under: uncultured bacterium
Lineage: Bacteria
Description: partial 16S ribosomal RNA
Rfam family: Bacterial small subunit ribosomal RNA
Source: RNAcentral